CACUCUGCGGGAGGCAGCAGUGGGGAAUUUUGGACAAUGGGCGAAAGCCUGAUCCAGCAAUGCCGCGUGUGUGAAGAAGGCCUUCGGGUUGUAAAGCACUUUUGUCCGGAAAGAAAUCCUUGGCUCUAAUACAGUCGGGGGAUGACGGUACCGGAAGAAUAAGCACCGGCUAACUACGUGCCAGCAGCCGCGGUAAUACGUAGGGUGCGAGCGUUAAUCGGAAUUACUGGGCGUAAAGCGUGCGCAGGCGGUUUGCUAAGACCGAUGUGAAAUCCCCGGGCUCAACCUGGGAACUGCAUUGGUGACUGGCAGGCUAGAGUAUGGCAGAGGGGGGUAGAAUUCCACGUGUAGCAGUGAAAUGCGUAGAGAUGUGGAGGAAUACCGAUGGCGAAGGCAGCCCCCUGGGCCAAUACUGACGCUCAUGCACGAAAGCGUGGGGAGCAAAGAGGAUUAGAAACCCGGGUAGUCC
Molecule: ribosomal RNA, 469 nt
Filed under: uncultured organism
Description: partial 16S ribosomal RNA
Rfam family: Bacterial small subunit ribosomal RNA
Source: RNAcentral